This 340-nucleotide ribosomal RNA is filed under the name Candidatus Komeilibacteria bacterium RIFCSPLOWO2_01_FULL_52_15. Its description in RNAcentral is "bacterial SSU rRNA". It matches the Rfam family "Bacterial small subunit ribosomal RNA", at positions 1 to 352 of the family's 1533-position model. The record is from RNAcentral. Lineage: Bacteria; Candidatus Komeiliibacteriota.
ACUGAGAGUUUGAUCCUGGCUCAGGAUGAACGCUGGCGGCAUGUCUAAGGCAUGCAAGUCGAAGGGUUGUAGCAAUACAGCCCUGGCAGACGGGUGCGUAACACAUUGGUAAUUCACCUCUAUCUCGGGCAUAACCCGGAGAAAUCUGGGACAAUUCCCGAUGGUCAUGCGGGGUCGCAAGACAUUCGCAUGUAAAGAUUUAUCGGAUGGAGAGAAGCCUAUGGCCCAUCAGCUUGUUGGCGGGGUAAUGGCCCACCAAGGCGAUGACGGGUAGCGGGUGUGAGAGCACGACCCGCCUCACUGGGACUGAGACACUGCCCAGACUCCUACGGGAGGCUGC